This 348-nucleotide ribosomal RNA is filed under the name Triticum aestivum (bread wheat). RNAcentral describes it as "partial small subunit ribosomal RNA". The record is from RNAcentral. Lineage: Eukaryota; Viridiplantae; Streptophyta; Magnoliopsida; Poales; Poaceae.
AUGUGCUGCUCCUCCUCUCUCUCUCGUUCUGCCGGCAGACGCCCGGGCUUGCUCGCUGGCCUCGCGGGCCUCGGACGCCACCAAGAACGCCUCGCCGAGCAGAAGCAGCUCGACCGCGCCUCCUUUGCGCCGGCCAAGCCACGAGCAGCAGCAGCUCCACCUGCUACUGCUGACGCCAUGCUCGACCUGCCCAAGCCCGACGAUGACACCGCCCUACCGCCGCGCACACCGGUCGCCGCCGCCUCGCCGAGAGGGCUCGCCCUCGUGUGCGCCGACCUGCUGCGCCGCACCUCGCCGAGAGGGCUCGUCCUCGCGUGCGCUCCUCCUACCGGUCGCGGGAACGGCUAG